CAGAGGUGGCCAUACUUUCAGACAAAUGAAAAAAGCGGUUGCAAUGAGGUCUUCUGGUCAUAAUUUGUAUGAAUCAGCAGAACUCUGUAAGGUGCUAAAGAUUGGAAUAGUUAACAGCCUCACAGUCCAUCCCGUCUGGGUUUUCCCGAGAGGAGGCCUUUGAAACUCAAGGUGGGUGCUACCUAAAAGAAAACAACUGGAAAGAACACAAAGCUCCGAGUUUCAUUGGCAAACAUUAUUUCGGACUUUGGCCAUCAUGGCUAUUGAAAAAGUUGCCAUACAAGGCAGUGAGCUUGAGGCCAGCAGCUUCUAAGAGUGGGC
This is a long non-coding RNA of Ornithorhynchus anatinus (platypus), 321 nucleotides long. RefSeq lists it as uncharacterized. The transcript is spliced from 3 exons. The record is from RefSeq and is a predicted model, not a curated record. NCBI's taxonomy places the organism in Eukaryota, Metazoa, Chordata, Mammalia, Monotremata, Ornithorhynchidae.